UACAGAGGGUGCAAGCGUUAAUCGGAAUUACUGGGCGUAAAGCGCGCGUAGGCGGUUACGUAAGUCGGGUGUGAAAGCCCCGGGCUCAACCUGGGAAUUGCAUUCGAAACUGCGUAGCUAGAGUCUGAUAGAGGGAAGUGGAAUUUCCGGUGUAGCGGUGAAAUGCGUAGAUAUCGGAAGGAACACCAGUGGCGAAGGCGACUUCCUGGGCCAAUACUGACGCUGAGGUGCGAAAGCGUGGGGAGCAAACGGGAUUAGAUACCCCAGUAGUCC
This 273-nucleotide ribosomal RNA is filed under the name uncultured bacterium. Its description in RNAcentral is "partial 16S ribosomal RNA". It matches the Rfam family "Bacterial small subunit ribosomal RNA", at positions 524 to 796 of the family's 1533-position model. The record is from RNAcentral.